ACAUCAAAUGAUCAACUUUAGUCUGUGCAGCAAUAUGUCUUAUCAGCGGUGGAAGAUGCAGACAGGGGUAAAGGCUCAGCCUGUCGCUUUGAAAGUGCAUGUUGGGAAUGUGCCAAAGAGGAACCAGAGGAUAUAUUGCCAUCUGUGUCAGAAUCUUGUAUAGAAGAGGAAAUGGGAGAGACAUACAAGGGGUCCCUGUUCCAUAGGAAGAUGAGAGCAUCACCCAGUGAAUGUUUCCCCAGGUGAGCCCUGGAACAGUAGUGAGGACAUUUCUUCUUCCAGGUGGGGUCUCCAGCAGAAGUAUGGCUGGUAAGAGGAAGACACUGGCUCUGCUAUCUCCUAAUACACUGCAGAGGGAGACAAACCUGGCUUAAAGGACUUGUGGAGAAAAAUGGCACUUGUUAACGUGGGUUCCAACUUAGAGCUUGUGUCAGGGCAAGAAGCCAAAGUGAAAUGCUCUGUUAAUCUAUAAAACAUAUAAGGCCUGGGCAACCUCAAAUUUUCCCCCAUCACUACAUUAAAGUGCCUCAGACUGACUUGAAGAAAUGGUGAGAGGAUACUGCAAUUCUACCCAAUCAGUCCAUGGCAUGCAUACAGAAAUUAUCAACAUGGGAGCUAACUACACCUCUACACCGAUAUAACGUGACCCGAUAUAACACGAAUUGGGAUAUAACGUGGUAAAGCAGCGCU
Gopherus evgoodei (Goodes thornscrub tortoise) is the source of this 690-nucleotide long non-coding RNA. RefSeq lists it as uncharacterized. Lineage: Eukaryota; Metazoa; Chordata; Testudines; Testudinidae. The transcript is spliced from 3 exons. The record is from RefSeq and is a predicted model, not a curated record.